RNAcentral lists this ribosomal RNA (831 nucleotides) under uncultured bacterium. Its description in RNAcentral is "bacterial SSU rRNA". It matches the Rfam family "Bacterial small subunit ribosomal RNA", at positions 9 to 835 of the family's 1533-position model. The record is from RNAcentral.
GAGUUUGAUCAUGGCUCAGAUUGAACGCUGGCGGCAGGCCUAACACAUGCAAGUCGAGCGGUAGAGAGGAGCUUGCUUCUCUUGAGAGCGGCGGACGGGUGAGUAAUGCCUAGGAAUCUGCCUAGUGGUGGGGGAUAACGUUCGGAAACGGACGCUAAUACCGCAUACGUCCUACGGGAGAAAGCGGGGGAUCUUCGGACCUCGCGCCAUUAGAUGAGCCUAGGUCGGAUUAGCUAGUUGGUGAGGUAAUGGCUCACCAAGGCGACGAUCCGUAACUGGUCUGAGAGGAUGAUCAGUCACACUGGAACUGAGACACGGUCCAGACUCCUACGGGAGGCAGCAGUGGGGAAUAUUGGACAAUGGGCGAAAGCCUGAUCCAGCCAUGCCGCGUGUGUGAAGAAGGUCUUCGGAUUGUAAAGCACUUUAAGUUGGGAGGAAGGGUCGUAACCUAAUACGUUACGGCUUUGACGUUACCGACAGAAUAAGCACCGGCUAACUUCGUGCCAGCAGCCGCGGUAAUACGAAGGGUGCAAGCGUUAAUCGGAAUUACUGGGCGUAAAGCGCGCGUAGGUGGUUCAGCAAGUUGGAUGUGAAAGCCCUGGGCUCAACCUGGGAACUGCAUCCAAAACUACUGAGCUAGAGUACGGUAGAGGGUAGUGGAAUUUCCUGUGUAGCGGUGAAAUGCGUAGAUAUAGGAAGGAACACCAGUGGCGAAGGCGACUACCUGGACUGAUACUGACACUGAGGUGCGAAAGCGUGNGGAGCAAACAGGAUUAGAUACCCUGGUAGUCCACGCCCGUAACGAUGUCGACUAGCCGUUGGGAUCCUUGA